This 99-nucleotide ribosomal RNA is filed under the name uncultured bacterium. RNAcentral describes it as "partial 16S ribosomal RNA". It matches the Rfam family "Bacterial small subunit ribosomal RNA", at positions 1384 to 1482 of the family's 1533-position model. The record is from RNAcentral.
UACACACCGCCCGUCACACCAUGGGAGUGGGUUCUACCUUAAGCCGUAGCGCUAACCGCAAGGAGGCAUACGACCAUGGUAGGGUUCAUGACUGGGGUG